UACGUAGGGCGCAAGCGUUGUCCGGAAUUAUUGGGCGUAAAGAGCUCGUAGGCGGUUUGUCGCGUUCUGCUGUGAAAACCCGAGGCUCAACCUCGGGCCUGCAGUAGGGUACGGGCAGACUAGAGGUGUGGGUAGGGGAGACUGGAAUUCCUGGUGUAGCGGUGGAAUGCGCAGAUAUCAGGAGGAACACCAAUGGGCGAAGGCAGGUCUCUGGGCCGACAACAUGACGCUGGAGGAAGCGGAAAGCAUCGGGGAGCAAACAGG
Molecule: ribosomal RNA, 264 nt
Filed under: uncultured bacterium
Lineage: Bacteria
Description: partial 16S ribosomal RNA
Rfam family: Bacterial small subunit ribosomal RNA
Source: RNAcentral